This 253-nucleotide ribosomal RNA is filed under the name uncultured bacterium. RNAcentral's name for it is "partial 16S ribosomal RNA". It matches the Rfam family "Bacterial small subunit ribosomal RNA", at positions 524 to 776 of the family's 1533-position model. The record is from RNAcentral.
UACGUAGGUGUCAAGCGUUGUCCGGAUUUAUUGGGCGUAAAGCGUCUGUAGGUGGUUUAAAAAGUCCACUGUUAAAAAUUGAAGCUUAACUUCAAAGAUGCCGUGGAAACUUUUAAACUUGAGUAUGGUAGGGGUAGAGGGAAUUUCCAGUGGAGCGGUGAAAUGCGUAGAUAUUGGAAAGACCACCAAUGGCGAAGGCACUCUACUGGGCCAUUACUGACACUGAGAGACGAAAGCUAGGGGAGCAAAUGGG